This 509-nucleotide ribosomal RNA is filed under the name Streptomyces sp. SCAU5110. RNAcentral's name for it is "bacterial SSU rRNA". It matches the Rfam family "Bacterial small subunit ribosomal RNA", at positions 116 to 638 of the family's 1533-position model. The record is from RNAcentral. Lineage: Bacteria; Bacillati; Actinomycetota; Actinomycetes; Kitasatosporales; Streptomycetaceae.
CGUGGGCAAUCUGCCCUGCACUCUGGGACAAGCCCUGGAAACGGGGUCUAAUACCGGAUAUUGACCUUCACGGGCAUCUGUGAGGUUCGAAAGCUCCGGCGGUGCAGGAUGAGCCCGCGGCCUAUCAGCUUGUUGGUGAGGUAAUGGCUCACCAAGGCGACGACGGGUAGCCGGCCUGAGAGGGCGACCGGCCACACUGGGACUGAGACACGGCCCAGACUCCUACGGGAGGCAGCAGUGGGGAAUAUUGCACAAUGGGCGAAAGCCUGAUGCAGCGACGCCGCGUGAGGGAUGACGGCCUUCGGGUUGUAAACCUCUUUCAGCAGGGAAGAAGCGAAAGUGACGGUACCUGCAGAAGAAGCGCCGGCUAACUACGUGCCAGCAGCCGCGGUAAUACGUAGGGCGCAAGCGUUGUCCGGAAUUAUUGGGCGUAAAGAGCUCGUAGGCGGCUUGUCACGUCGGUUGUGAAAGCCCGGGGCUUAACCCCGGGUCUGCAGUCGAUACGGGCA